AGAGCCUCUAUAUUUCAAAUCUUGAUUAUCCCCCUUUUUUAAUCUUGAUUAGAGGUAUCACAACGGUCAGUUUGUACACUGUAUCGUUUGUACUUAUGAUUGAAGUCCUUUCAGUGACCUUAAAACACUAACGUCUUUGUAGGUGUUCUGUAGAAAAGUGAUUUCAACCACAAUCCUGCCAUUUUCCCUAUUGAUAAAAAUGCCAUCAAUCUAUUUUAGGCAAUGAGAAAUAUCAGUCAGGAAUAUUUGUCUAAAUUUGAUUUAAAACCUAC
RNAcentral lists this long non-coding RNA (272 nucleotides) under Mytilus galloprovincialis (Mediterranean mussel). The record is from RNAcentral. Lineage: Eukaryota; Metazoa; Mollusca; Bivalvia; Mytilida; Mytilidae.